CGUCCCUGCCGUGCCGCGCGUCCCCGCCUCGCUGUCCCUCCGACGCCGACACCGACGCCACGAGACCACGCGCUCCGGCCACCCUCGUCUCCCGCCGCCAAAGGGAAACGGAAGCAUGUCCGAAACGGCAGGAGGCUGAAUCAUCGAUGGACGAAACCAGCUGAAAACUCCUGAAUCAACCUCCACUUUUGCCCGGUUUUAGUUCGGCCGACACCCAGCAGAGGUUAUGGUGAAGCAUGGGAACGCAGCAGCCGAGUAUUUGCAGAGUGCCCCAAUCCGACGGCUGCGACACCCGCUAGAUGAAAGUCCAUUCUGGGCCAUCUUUUGCUCAACACUUGGUGAUACCUUAGCUUUUGUGGCCAGUCUACCAAUAAUUGCACUUCUUGUCAUUAUCUUACCGGUAUUUUCUCUUACCAGAUGGAUCCUACUCCUUGCCUACUGGAACACACGCCGCAGGUGCUUCAGAGUAAGCGGUGGAGUGGAAUCAAUGCGAGGUCAGGACGCCAAGUGGUUAGGUAGCGCAUGGCAGCGUUCGGUGCUCCAUGCAGUGCUCGUUUUUGACUCCCGGCUUGAUCUGAUGAGGCUGAAACAAGCCCUCCUUCAGCGAGUGAUCCCAUUCUGUCCUCGCCUAAUCUCGAAGCCGUUUGCGUUGCCACUCACGGCCGGUGCUGGCCAUUGUUGGCUUCCAGACUCCUCGUUUGAUAUACACCGACAUGUCUUCCAUGCACCAGAGCUUUCUCAGGAUCAUGGUGCUACAAAGUUACAGGAUUAUGUGGGAAAGCUUUUAAGCAAAAGUCUGUCUGCUGAUAAACCACCAUGGGAACUUCACGUCAUGCCUCGAUCAGUAGAAACUACUGUGUCCUCUCCGUGUGAAGCUCCAGACACUAUCGUCAUUCUGGGGAAUUCAUCAAAGCCUUGCCGAUGGCACAUCAUUAGUCAAAUUACUUUGCCAAAAUCUCUCUGAUACCAAAGUAAACUGGACCACUCCAAAGAAAUUUGGACGCAUCCAAUUUUGCUACUUGUACAUCCGUGCGUGCCUCAUCUGCCCACUUGCUCUGUGUUGCUGGCUCCUGACUUCACGGAAGGACCGCAACCUUAUAAAUGGGCCACAAAAAUGGACCAAUCACAAUGUUGUAUCUAUGUCUUCAAUGUUAAGUAUGAGCAAAGCAACCCGUAUCAAACAAGUAACACGUUCAUCAAUGAACUGUGUCGUUCUUUCUGCAUUUGCAGGAGCUUUGAGAUUGUUUUUGCAAAGUUGCGGAAUUAGACAUCCACCCGACAUGAAGGUAUGAUAUCCUGUUAAGAAUGGUAAGCCUUACCUAGAUCAUGUUUACAUCCUUCCAAGUCUUUGAGCAACAUUUGUCCAUUUUAUUAAUCUCGAAAAUUCUUGCAGUUAUCAAAUUUCCGCCUUCAAAGAAAUCUUUGUAGUGCUUCUAAAAGUUUAUGAUUACCUAUCAUUAAUUUGUCCUUUGAGACAAUUCUAAAGAAUGAUCAGAAGAUACAUGUUUUAUAUGUAAUCAAAACUGAAUGAAAAAUUAAAAAAUAUGUCAAUCGUGAAAUCACAAAAUCUUUAUUUUCAGUUUCAGAACUUUUUGCUUUUUUUAACAACAGAAACCAAGAAAACCGAGGUAACAAACUGUGAGCAUCAAAAUUUGGUAGAAACACUAUAAAACGUUUUGGAGGCUGUAAAAGGCUGACGUGUUUAGGACGCCUGUCUUCUUCUUCAGAAAUCUGGAUUGAAAAUUGGAAUCUGCUCUGAAAAAGGAGACAGGCGCUUCAAAACGCAUAGGAUUUUUUUUUUAUUUCGCAUUCUUUGAGAGUUUAAGUUCACUAUUUUGACUCUACUUAUUUUAUCGUUUUUGUCUCAUUUCUUGCCUCGUACGAAAGCUUGACAGAAAAACCAAGUACUUUACUUUUCUGAAACUACUCAAAGACAUUCUGUAAACAUUUUCCGCAGGAAUACCAAUCAGUUUCUUUUUUAAAAAAUAAGGUAAAAUCAGAAAUUUUCUUUAUAGGGAUUGAAAUUGUGUUUUCUGCACAGAAAAACGCAUCUUGUCUGCUCUGUUUCAAUAUUUCUUCGGAAUUUUUAUUUUGUUGUUGUUGGAGAACUAUUGUAUUGAAUUUGUUUGAAAAUUUUAGUUUCUUUCAUCACAAGUGUUGAGAAAAAUCACUGGAAAAUGCGACAAUCUUCCUUUAAAAAAAUAUGACGUCAGUGAGAAAUACUGAAGCAGUGCAGUCAAAAUACGUUUCUUUGCACAGGAAACAACAAAAUAUUUAUCCCCUGUUACCACUGAUUUAUUAGUUAUUAUUUACAUGAUAUAGCAAAAAGAUGGCAUUAUCUAAUUAUUGAAACAUAAGUAAAUUUACAGGCAAGUUUUAAUUUUACUAUCUUGUAGAAUUGUUUCCUCCGAAUAUAUCUUCCAAAUUAUCGACAAGCAUAGUAGUAACUAGUAAGUAAGUAAUUAUUUUUUAAUAUGAAGUGAACCACAAGCAUUUUUCUAUCACUCAGAUUGUGAUUCCUGUGAACAUGAACCAAGGGGGCAUGUCAGUCCAGCCAAACAUUAACAGUAAAGUUUCUCCUGUCGUUAUGACUCUACCUGUGAGUAUCGAAGGAGCUUUGCCACGCUUGUGGUACACUAGAAGUCGCCUCAAAACACUGCGGUCAUCCAUCGAUCCCUUCGUUCUCUAUGUAGCCACUUCAGCUCUAAUGUCAAUCGCACCUGGCUCAUGUGUCCGAUCGCUUAUUUCUGCUGUCACGGAGAAAACGGUGGGUGAGCUAUUCAGCCUUUUUAAUUCGUCGAGCAAUCCUGAAAAUACAAGUGAAAAGGAAAGUUGCAUCUGUUUUUGUUAUUGCAAUAUCUGUGAACUUACAAAAAUUUGAUGGGUUCUCUUUGAGAAUAAUCUCUCUAUAAAUCUGAAGAACUCUCUCUAGAACUCUGAAUAUCCUCUUAAUUUACUGUGGCUUGUAAGAGAGAUAAAAAAUAUGUAUUCUACAAGUGUAAAUGAACAGUGAUCGAAGCUGCAAAAUUAAAUAUCUCAAUAAUUGUAGUGUUUCAAAAUAAUAUCCGCUCCUAUUUUAUUUUUUUGAAUGACACCGGAUCAACAUCAUGGCUUGAAACUUUCACAGAAUAUUUUUCACAAUGUAAAGAUAAAACAUCGAAGUUUUCAAGAAAUGACGACGUAGAGUUUUCUAUUCAGAAAAUAAAGUAUGAGAAGAAGUCUGCAGCGCUGCAUAACAGAAUACGCGACUUUGCAAGUUUAUCUAAGUAAUAUUGUUUAAUUUUUAAAAUCAAACAUUUGGUCAGUGUUGCACCUGAUGGUAUUUUUUUUAUUCACAACCAUUCAAGAUUGAAGUUUACAGGAUUAUGUAUUCUAAGAUUACUUCAUGAAAGUACGAAUCAAAUUCUUUGUCGAUUUAGGCAAGCGUGCAGUUCAGCUGGCUUUCUGGGCCAACGUCACCUGUAGCAAUCAGCGGUAGCGAACUGAAAGCAAUAUAUUCUUUAGUCCCUGCUCAAAGCGGAAUUGGAAUAGCAGUUUCUGUGAUCACCUACUCCGAACAAAUUUAUCUUACUGUUGCUACUGAUGCUGCUCUCGGACAAACUGGAGAAAUCCUUUUGCAUCAUAUCAACCGACAGGUGAUUUUGCUUAAACGGUGUAAUUAAGGAGGCUUUUCAUCAAAGCAUUUGGUGCCAAAAAGACUCCUCUUGGUCUCAUUGUUUCGGAUUCUCUGUAAUAUUUUAUUCGUAUGAGGAAAGUGAAUAAAAUUUCGUUGGAAUUUUACUAAAUAUUCCUCAUGAUUCUCCAUUAGUCUAUUGAAAAAUUUCUGGAAAAGUCAUCCUUUACAUUCUUUUCUGAGACAUAAAUCAGCAACGGAGAUUCUGAAACAUUGCCACUAAGAAUUGCCCCUUCUUGCACCCAGCACCUUAAUUAGGCUUGUGCUAUUAGUUUUUGCCAUGCCAUUGAAACACUUUCGGUACAAAGUGCAUUAUAACAAUUUGAGAGCUCAAUGGCUUACUAUUGGAGUUUUGAAGUUUGCAAAACUGAGAUAUCAGCAGGCAUAUCUGUUUGACUCACAAACAAGGCAAGGAAUAAAUGCGUCGUCAGUUUCAUACGACUACCAUUCUCAAACAAUAGUGAACUCAUUAGAUUGUAUUGGUUGUAAUGAAAGUAAGGGCACUGACAAGGAUCCAUCUGCACACCAGCUUUAUUUUUAUACACAAAUAAGUUGCAAUUAAGAGGGAUCAUUAGCCUAAUAUCAUGGUGGAAAUAAAAUAUAUGAAGCUCAGUCUUGUAGAAAGAAAUCUAAAAAAUAGAUUAAUUAUUUGUAAUUAUUUUUAAAGAGAAAGAACAGAAAAACCAUUCUGUGUACCUUACGAGAGAUUUUCUCAAAAUCUUCUAUCUCCAAUUUUAUUGAUUGCAAAAUCCAAGAGCUGUGAUUUCAUUUUUUUCUGAAGUCACAGCAAUGUGUAGAUAUUAUCUCUCUACCUGAGGUUAAUUUCUUUUCUAUUUUUCAAUUAGUGUCUCCAGGAAUUCCUUAACCGUUACCGCUCAAGAUUUCGCCCGUUUUUUGACUCUUUUCCUCGUUUUGAUUUACAGAUUAACAAGUUGUAUGAGCUACUUCAUAAUAGGAGGAUUCCUGGUGAAGGUCAUCGAUCAGAUGCAGUUAGUUUGUCAACAUUCCCCAAUAUUCGAACCGCCCCUGUCGAUAGUGUAAGUAUUCUAAAUGUAAAUCUUACUCAAAUUAUUCAAUUAAUUGAUUUGAAAAUAUUCACG
RNAcentral lists this long non-coding RNA (4773 nucleotides) under Bemisia tabaci. RNAcentral's name for it is "lncRNA ENSASIAIIG010563". Lineage: Eukaryota; Metazoa; Arthropoda; Insecta; Hemiptera; Aleyrodidae. The record is from RNAcentral.